Passer domesticus (house sparrow) is the source of this 1370-nucleotide long non-coding RNA. RefSeq lists it as uncharacterized. Lineage: Eukaryota; Metazoa; Chordata; Aves; Passeriformes; Passeridae. The record is from RefSeq and is a predicted model, not a curated record. The transcript has 3 exons.
CAGCCUCCUCUUUGCAGUCACUUCCAUCUCACCUGGAAGUAAUUGACUUCUAACCAACAGUGGUAUCUAUCCUGACCCAGCUAACUGGAGAGGCUACUGCUUCCUUCCUACCUUGAUGAAUGCCAGCCUGCUUUAAAGAUUUGCAAGAUUCCUUUUGCUGGCUUUUCCAUGUAUUUUAGCCCAGGCAAGAGCAUACAGGGAAAUGCUUCUUCCUCUGCCUGGAUGAGCAGGACCUGGCUUAAUACUGAGACAUAAAUGGGACUGUAGACCUAGGAGCACUUUAAUUGGGUUCUCUUCCCAGUUCUUCGGCAGUUCCUUGCAUGACCUUGGGGAAGUCACUGACCCUUUUAACUUGCACUGAAAUGCUGCAUCAGGCCUGAAUGCCAGAUCCCAGUGAACAGUCACCUGAAGCAAGCACCACAUGUAUGGCUGGAUGAGCUGCAAGAAGGAAGCUGCCCUACCUUCCAUGAUCCAUUUUCAACUGCAAUUCGAUCAUACUCUGGAGAAGGAAAGAGAUCAAAGCAGAGAACACGGCGGGCAUACUCUCAGGAUUAAAACUGGCCAGAGGCAAUCUGGCAGAACAAGUAAACAGCUCUUCAGCACUCUGAAGAAAAGCCUCAUCUAACGUGAACAUUUUUGUGCCCCUGCAAGCUCUCGCCCAGUUAGCCCUGCUGGCUUGGAAGGUCACAUCUGCUGCUCAUGUUAUUUUUUGUCAUCAUCCCAUCCAUAUUGCCCUUUUUCACCCUUGAACUUCAUUUAUGAAUAACAUUACAUCAACUCUUUUGGUUCCAUGACAAGACAGCAAAGACCUGUAUUCCUUAAGGAAAUGGGCUGAUCUUACAAUUACAACAUGCUUCACUUUAAAACCCCGAGCCUUGGUGUGCUGAGGAGAACUACUAUGUCUGUCUGAGAUGUAGGGCUGUCUCCUCAGGGUAUAUUUGGGGCUUAAAGGGUCAGUGUAUUUCAGUGUUUCAACAGGAUCCCAUUUCACUUUGGCAGAAUAGCACACAGAUGGAGGAGCCUGUGUUCUAUUUGGUACUUGAUACAUAUCACUUGGUACCUUGCCACUCUGAUGGGGCUUCUUCCUCUGUAUUCUCAUCUCUCUGAGAAAUGAAAUUUCUUUGCUCUAAGUUGGCUCCACAUCACAUCUUGAACAGAACAAGCUAAUCAGAAAGAAAAUGAGAGAGAUUGCACUCCUUGUCUUUCUGCAUGGAAGCCUAACACAUAACUUCUGCUUCUUUGUUUGACUUUUAUACUAAGAUAGAAUUGAUGCAAAGGAGCCAACCAGAGUGUUCAUUUUAGCUUCUAUAGGAGCUUGAUUUUUAAAGCAGACUUUAUUCCUACUGAGUUCAGGAGCUACUACAAUCUAG